AGAGUUUGAUCAUGGCUCAGGACGAACGCUGGCGGCGUGCUUAAUACAUGCAAGUCGAGCGAGGUUACUGCGACAGAUCCCUUCGGGGUGAAGUUGCUUUAACCUAGCGGCGGACGGGUGAGUAACGCGUGGGUAACCUACCCUAAAGUUCGGGAUAACAGCGGGAAACCGCUGCUAAUACCGGAUGCCUUUACCAUGUGGCAUCACAAGGUAAAGAAAGGUAACGCUUUAGGAUGGGCCCGCGUCCCAUUAGCUAGUUGGUGAGGUAACAGCUCACCAAGGCGACGAUGGGUAGCCGGCCUGAGAGGGUGGACGGCCACACUGGGACUGAGACACGGCCCAGACUCCUACGGGAGGCAGCAGUAGGGAAUAUUGCGCAAUGGACGGAAGUCUGACGCAGCGACGCCGCGUGAGCGAUGAAGGCCUUCGGGUCGUAAAGCUCUGUCCUUGGGGAAGAAGGUCUUCGGACUUGACGGUACCCAAGAAGAAAGCCCCGGCUAACUACGUGCCAGCAGCCGCGGUAAU
Molecule: ribosomal RNA, 525 nt
Filed under: uncultured bacterium
Lineage: Bacteria
Description: bacterial SSU rRNA
Rfam family: Bacterial small subunit ribosomal RNA
Source: RNAcentral